GUGCGGGUCUCAAUAAUUGAACAGGCAUUUACAAUUAUUUAAUUUUUUUUAUUUCUAUUGCUUGCAAGCUCCUUUGGUACUUGUUAUACUGAAAGGCACUAUAGAAUAACAGCAAUAAAUAAAUGUGACAUGCAAUGAAAAGUCUUAGACAGGUAGCCUACUGAACCGAGUAGAUGGCAGAUAAUCCUCUUUGGCAGUAACCUCGUGGAAAAGGAGGAAAUGCUGCUUGGUGCAAACAUUACCAGAAGUAUCAGAAUGGAACUACAGUAUAAAAAUAGCCUUUUUAGGGCCUUAUGGAUUACUAUAUCAGCGACCAAUUCAUAUGAUUGAGGAUAGUAAAGUCCUCAGUCUGGCAAGAUUUUGUCUAAUGGAGUGGAACAAUAAAGAACUCAGCUUGGAAAAA
Long non-coding RNA from Pantherophis guttatus, 403 nucleotides. RefSeq lists it as uncharacterized. The record is from RefSeq and is a predicted model, not a curated record. NCBI's taxonomy places the organism in Eukaryota, Metazoa, Chordata, Lepidosauria, Squamata, Colubridae.